RNAcentral lists this ribosomal RNA (200 nucleotides) under uncultured prokaryote. RNAcentral describes it as "partial 16S ribosomal RNA". It matches the Rfam family "Bacterial small subunit ribosomal RNA", at positions 1183 to 1382 of the family's 1533-position model. The record is from RNAcentral.
GGUCAAGUCAUCAUGGCCCCUAUGUCCAGGGCUACACACGUGCUACAAUGGCGGGUACAGAGUGAAGCGAAGCCGCGAGGUUAGAGCGAAGCACUAAAGCCUGCCGUAGUUCGGAUUGAAGUCUGAAACCCGACUUCAUGAAGUUGGAAUCGCUAGUAAUCGCGCAUCAGCAUGGCGCGGUGAAUACGUUCCCGGGCCUU